Non-coding RNA from Oryctolagus cuniculus (rabbit), 6379 nucleotides. NCBI's taxonomy places the organism in Eukaryota, Metazoa, Chordata, Mammalia, Lagomorpha, Leporidae. The record is from RefSeq and is a predicted model, not a curated record.
UUUUGUCUUAUGGAAAUGUUAACAUCCUGUACUCAUAUGUUUGAAUUUUGAAUGACCUGUGUUUAUCUGGUAGAAGGAUAAAUGUAUGUAAAAUCUUGAGGGAAGAAUAAUGACUCUGUUUUCACUGUAGGGAAGGUUAAAGCCCUAUUUUCUGCAGACCAGAAGACAUUACCUUGAAGUCCCCUUUGAGAAAAGGAAUGCCAUGUUGUCAAGGGAAUGGUGAAGCCUAUUUUAUCACUGAUUGAAGGACAUUCUUCUUUUAGAAAAUUUGAAUUCCCUCUCAACAUAAAGCUAAAUGUGAACACCAUGCCCACUAAGUAUGAAGAAGUAUCACCUAGAGCUUAGGUAAAAGCCAAAUGCCUUCUCUUCUGACAGAGGAGUGAAUGUCAGGUUGCGAUGUGAGAAUAUGGUGAAGGGAAUGUUCUAAUGUGAAGAUAGCAAGAAGGUCCUGUUCUCUCAAGAAGGAAGAGUUAAUGCAGAUUUCUUGAGUGAUGGCAGAAUGAAUACUUUGUCCUCUGCAUAUCAAAGUUAGAACAUACUGUACACAUCUGACAUAAUGGUGAUUGGUGUGCUGUCAUGUAAGGUCUGGGUGACUGCAGGGCCCUCACAUCACAAUAGGGUGAAGGUCUUGUUAUGUGAUGGAAGGAUAAAAAUCCUGUCCUUACGAUGGACGCUCGGAUGUGGUGCCCUCAUUUUUGGGAAAGUGAAUGGCGAGCCUGCACCUGUCCUCUGCUGGAGGAUGGAAGAACACAUUAUUCUCACAUGGGUAGAAGAUUCUAUCAUCCCUGGCAGGAAGGCUGGAUACACUGUUCUCUGUGGAGAGAGGCAUUCUCAUGACCUAUCUUGAGAGAUAGUGAAUGUCAUUUCCUACCCUCAUGGAAUGGUGAAGUCUGUUUCCUCACUGGCAAUAAGGUCAACUCUGCAUCAUCAUGUGAGAGAAUUUGAAUGUCUUGUGCUCACAAAGGAAAGUGUAAACCCAGUGUCCACUACAGACUGAAGAAUUAUCAAGCAAUAUUAAUUAAAGAAAGCAAAAGACCGACUCCUCAUUUGACAGAAAUAUAAAGGCCAUUUUGUAAUGUGAGAAUAUGGUGACAGGAGUAUCCUCUUGUGAAGAUGGCCUUAAAAUUCCUGUUUCCUCGUGAUGGAAGGGUGAAUGCAGAGUCCUCAUGUAAUGAUGUGAUGAAUCUUCUGUUCUCUCCUAAUUGAAGUUUGAACACUCUGUGCACUGCUGAGGGGACAGUGAUUGAUGUGUUGUCCUAUGAGGGCUGGGUGAAUGCAGGUUCCUCACAUCAGAGUAGGGUGAAGGUCCUGUUAUCAUGUGAUGGAAGGAUGAAUGCCUUGUCCUCAGCCAUGUUGAGAAGUACCCUGUCACCUCACAUGGAGGAAGUCUGAACGUGGUAUCCUCAAUGAAUGGGAAGGUGAAUGGUCUCUUUGGAGCUGAUGGAAGAGGGAAAUUCCUUUCCUCAAUUGAAGGAAGCAUGAACACAUUUUCCUCACAUGUUGAAAGGGUAGAUUGUUCUCAGCUGAUGAAUGGGGAAUGUGCUUCCUUCCUUGAGAGAAGAGUUGGAAGCCUCAUUUGUUAUGUAACAGGAUGAAGGUCUUGUCCUCUCAUGGUGACAGGGAGAAGAUCAUGUCUUCAUGUGCUGGCAUGGUCAGUGUCCUGUACUCAGCAAAUGAAAGGUAGCAUGGUUUCCUGAGUUAUAAGGUUAGAGUGUAUGACAUUUUGUCCUGUGAUGAUAGUGUUAAUGCCCUUUCAUCACAUGAUGGACAUUUGAAUGUCAUGUGUUUAUUUGGUGGAACACUAGAUGUACUUUACAAUCCCAGGGAAAGAGUAAAUGCUCUGUCCUUGUAAGACUGAAUGUGCUAUUCUUUGCAGAUUAAAGGACAUUGAUUGGAAUUCUCCUUUGAGAUAGUAAAUGCCUUCUCCUCACUAAUUAAGAAUGAUGCCUUUUAUCACUGGACAGAAGGGCAACCAUGGCAUUCUCAUUUUAGAGAAUUUGAAUGCCUUCUCCACUCUGAGGGAAGUGUUAAUGUCCAUUUGUCCACUUGUGACUGAAAAUUAUCACCCAGUAAUCACCUGAAGAAGGCCUUGUGCCUUCUGCUUCUCUGAGUUCAGGGUGAAGGGUGAAGACCAUAUUACAGUGUGAGAAUAUGGUGAAGGGAAUGCCUUCAUGUGAAGAUGCAGUUCUUGUUCUCAUGUGAUGGAAGGGUGGAUGGAGUGUCUGCAGGUAAUGGUUAAAGGUGAGUAUUAUUUUAUCCUGUUGGAAGUUUGAGCAGCCUCUGCCCUUGUGAUUGAAGGAUGAUUGAUAUGUAUCAUGUUAUGCCUGGGUGAAUGCAGGUUCCUCACAUCACAAUAGGGUGAAGGUCUUGUUGUCAUGUGAUGGAGGGAUGAAUGAGUUGUCCUCAGCCAUGGAGAGGUGAACUCUGUUACCUGAAAUGUUGGAAGUUUGAAUGUGGUGUCCUCAUUGAAUAGGAACAUGAAUGUCUUUUCUGUACCUGAGGAAUGAGGGAAUCUCCUGUAUUCAACUGAUGGAUGCAUGAACACCUUUUUUAAAAAAAAGAUUUAUUUUAUUUACUUGAAAAACAGAGAGAGGUAGAGUGAGAGUGAGAGUGAGAGAGUGAGAGCGAGAGCGAGAGCGAGAGAGAGAGAGUCUUCAUUCUGCUGGCUCACUCCCCAAAUGACCACAGUGGCCAGAGCUGAACUGAUCUGAAGUCAGGAGUCAGGAGCUUCUUCUGGGUCUCCCACGUGGGUGCAAAGGCCCAAGGACUUGGUCCAUCUUCUACUGUUUCCCGGGCCAUAGCAGAGAGCUAUAUCACAUGUGGAAUGGCUGGGCCUCGAGCCAACGCCCAUAUGAGAUGCCUGCACCAUAGGCCAGACUUUAACUCUCUGAGCCACAGUGCCAGUACUGUGUGAGCACCUUUUCCUUACCUAGUUGAAGCGUGGACUCCCUGUUCUCAGCUUAUGGAAGGGGAAUGGCCUUCUUCUUCUGAGGGAAGAUGGACACAUCAUUUUUGGUGUCAGUAGAGUCAAAGCCAUGUCUUCACAUGGAGAUAGGUGAAGAUCAGGUUUUCACAUGUUGAAUGUCGGAUGCCCCAUCCUCUACAUGGGAAAAGGAGGAUGGCUUCUUCACCUAUCAGCAAAGAGUAAGUGCCAUUUUAUCUCGUGAUUGUGAUGUGAAUGCCUAGUCCUCACCUGAUGAAUGUGUGAAUGCCCUGUUUAACUGUUGGGGUGAUAGAUGUAUUUCACAAUCCUGAAGGAAGAGUAAAGGCUCUGUCUUUGCUGGAUGGAAGGCUGAGUGUCCUAUUCAUGAUUUAUGGGAGUUCACUUAUUUGAACUCUUCUGUGAGAUACAAAAUGCCUUCUCAUCACCUAAUAGAAGGGUGACAUCUGAGUCUUGUCAGGACAGAAGGGCAAACAUGUUCUGUUCCUAUAGAAUUUCAGUACCCUUUACCUAUAAUGAAAGUGGGAGCCAAAUGUUCACUACUGACUGAAGAAUUAUCACCCAGCACCCAACUGAAAAAGCCACAUGUUUUUAGUUCAUAUGAGAGUUAAAGUCCAUUUUUUCUUAUCCAAUUAAAAUUUAUUUUUUAGCAAAAUUUAUAUGUUAUACAAGUUUCCUGUAUUCCACAAUACAGCUUUAGAGAAGGCAAUGUUUUAAUGAAAGACAGGUGCAUGGUGUGUCCUCAUGUGAAGAUAGCAAGAAAGUCUUCUAAGCAGGAUCCUUAGUAAUGUAAGUGAAUGCUGUAUCCUUUCCAAGUAAAAGACUAUGCACUCUGUGCAUAUCCCGUGGGAGUGUGAUUGAAGUGUUGUCAUGUAUGUUCUGGGAGAGUGCAGGGUCCUCACAUCACAAUAGGGUGAAGGUCAUGUGAUGGAUAUGUGGAUGCCCUGUCCCCUGCUAUCUAGAGGUGAAGGCUGUCAUCUCACAUAUCUGACCUUUGAAUUUGGUGUCCUCAUUGGAUGGCCUGUCUUCACCUGAUGGAAUAGGAAGGUCCUGCCCUCAAACUGAGGAAGGUGAAGGACCUGAUGGAAGAGUGAAGAUCUGAUUGUUAGCAGGAACAUGAAUGCAGUUUCUACAGCUCAUGGGAGAGUGAACUCUGUGGACUCAGCUGAUGGAAGGGAGAAGUCUGACCUCGCUGGAGAGAAGAGCAAAUGCCUUGUUCAAAGCUUACAGAAUUUGAAUGCCUUCUCAUGGAGGGCUGUGGGAGCAUCCUGUCCUCCACUGAAUGAAAGAUUGUUAUCAGUGUUCACUGGAUGGAACUGUGAAUACCUGCUUAACAGAUGGCAUGUUGAAGGCCAUGUCCCUAUGGAGCAGUAAGGUGAACAAGGCAAAACCUAUGUCCUCACCUGGCAGAAAAGUGAAUGUGCUCUCCUGAUAUUACUAAAGGAGAUUGCAUUGUCCACAUCUGAUGGAACUGUGGAUGCCAUAUCUUCAUGUGAAGGGGACAAAAUGGUGAAUUCUGUUUGUGGGACAGAAGCAGGAAGGCUGUGACCUCACUCAUUGGAUUGGAAAAGGACACGAGGAACCAGGGAAAACCACAAGAAUUGCUGACCAAGCAUCUAGGCCUGAUACAAGAGUUCCUGGGGUUCAGGCCUCACCCAACUCCUCAGAGGCACAAGCCGCUGUCAAGAGGACAGGUGGACCUCCCUGUUACUCCAAUCUUCAGGAGUCACCCUGGGGCUCAGUUCCUGGCCCCUCAUGAUGGAAACUGCUGAAUCCAAAAUAUUUGAGGUCACAUCAGGGCAGGAGGAAGGCAGUGACAAAGAAGGCUCCCUAGAGUCCUGGCCCUGGCCUCUCACGGUGCACCUCAAAGACUGUGUCCAUCCUGUAGCUCACAGAUCCACAUCAGCUCAGGCAUGUUCCAGCUCCAUCACAAGUUCCUCUUCUGAAGCUCACAGAACCCUGCAGGCUGGAAACUUCUGUUCCCCAGAGAGUAGCAUCCACUAGAGACAUGUCCUCUUCCAUGUCUGUCCCAGUUCCGCUGCAACUGGGCCUCAACUUGUGUAGUGUCUACCUGAAGACAGGACCAAAGUCAUAUCACCUACUGUGGCCCUUGCAGUCUAAACCCUUCUGGCACAGUGACAGGUACAGGUGCCAGGCAUGUGCAGGGAGAACUUCCCGUCUCCCCACUUCCUGGUAGCCUGUGUGUGGGCCUCCUCCUCCUCCAUGGUGCAGGUUGUCAUGUUUGCUGCUGGAGCUUGGCACCCCAUCCACAGCCCAGGCAGGUCAGCAGCAUGCUUCCCUGCCUCCUAUCUAGGUAGAGCUCACAGAACACAUCUCAGGGGUACAGUUCCCUGACCCUGAUGGGAUCAACCCAGCCUCAUCUGUUGCUGGAAGACUGGAUCGCCAUGAGUCCCCCACAAGGGUGUGAGCACCAGGCCACUGAAUGUCUUGUGUGCCUGGCCUGGCCUGUGUGUGAAUUCAGUACCAGCUGUUCCUGUUGGAGCAGAUCCUGGCUCCCUGGGGUUGCAUGUGCAUGAAAAUACCAGCUCAUUGCCUGGGCAGCCGUGAGAACAUGGAACAGCAGUACACUUCAGUUUGGCUACCUCAGAGCCACACAGGGGGUACUUCUUGCCUCCUUCUUGCCUUGUUAGUUAAAGAGCAAUAAAGUGUUUGCUUUAAUAUGCUUUGGUCCAUUCUUGGGGCACACAGAGCCUGAGGUUAGUUCCAUUCUUGGGGCACACAGAACCUGAGGAACAGUGGUUCCUUGUGGUUCUCCUUUGGGGUGACAGGUGCUGCAUCUUCCACCUUCAGUCAGAGGUCCAGGUCCCAAACAUUUAAUACCUUUUGGGUUACCAAGCCACUAGGGGCCAGGGCUGUGUUGAGUGGUAACAAAGUCUGAGGUGCAUGGGCAUUGGGACAGUUCAUGAGAUUCUGUGGAACACACAUGUUAGGGUCUGGAGUGACCACUUUGCACCUUCUAGGCUGGCCAGCUUCAGUGUCCACUCCUCUGUGGUUCUGUCUCAUUGUGGCUCUCAGAAUCCAGCCCUUCUUCUUCUUCUUCUGCUUCUUCUGCUUCUUCUGCUUCUGCUGCUUCUGCUGCUUCUUCUCCUUCUCCUUCUGCUUCUUCUGCUUCUGCUUCUUCUGCUUCAGCUUCCAAGGAUGCCAUAAACAAGAGUGUCAAUUUGUUAAGUCAACAACAGGAGUCACUGUGCACUUACUCCUCAUGUAGGAUCUCUGUCCUUAAUGUGGUGUUCAAUGUGAAUUAAUGCUAUAACUAGUACUCAGACAGUAUCUUACACUCUAUUUCAGUGUGGGUGCAAGCUAUUGAAAUCUUUACUUAAUAUAUACUAAAUUGAUCUCCUGUAUGUAAAGAGAAUUGAAAAUGAAACUUGAUGUGAAUGGAAUGGAAGAGGGAGUGGGAGAUGGAGGGUUUGCAGG